GAUGAACGCUGACAGAAUGCUUAACACAUGCAAGUCUACUUGAACUUCGGUUUGGGUGGCGGACGGGUGAGUAACGCGUAAAGAACUUACCUCACAGUUAGGGACAACAUUUGGAAACGAAUGCUAAUACCUGAUAUUAUGAUUUUAGGGCAUCCUAAGAUUAUGAAAGCUAUAUGCGCUGUGAGAGAGCUUUGCGUCCCAUUAGCUAGUUGGAGAGGUAACGGCUCACCAAGGCGAUGAUGGGUAGCCGGCCUGAGAGGGUGAACGGCCACAAGGGGACUGAGACACGGCCCUUACUCCUACGGGAGGCAGCAGUGGGGAAUAUUGGACAAUGGACCAAAAGUCUGAUCCAGCAAUUCUGUGUGCACGAUGACGUUUUUCGGAAUGUAAAGUGCUUCCAGUUGGGAAGAAAAAAAUGACGGUACCAACAGAAGAAGUGACGGCUAAAUACGUG
RNAcentral lists this ribosomal RNA (454 nucleotides) under uncultured bacterium. Its description in RNAcentral is "partial 16S ribosomal RNA". It matches the Rfam family "Bacterial small subunit ribosomal RNA", at positions 28 to 507 of the family's 1533-position model. The record is from RNAcentral.